AAAACUUAUAAUUUGGGUUUCCACCCCUUGGGUUGAAGAUGGCCUAAGCUCUUCAACUUUCUUCAUACUUUAUUUCCAACCACUUAGGCUUAUUUAGUAAUCCCUAAAGUCGCCACCUCAUUGUAACCGCCCUACUCUUCAUGCUACAAUCCCUUGAUUUGUGGAACACUUCUUCUCAAGCCACCAUGUCAUUAGACACAUGUUUUUCAUGGAUAUAACCACCAACCAUGAUCCCCUUUUUUAUUGAACCACUCUCCCACAUUUUCAUAUUUUCGUAGAGCAAUAACCACCCAACUAACUAGCUAGUUAUCCUUC
RNAcentral lists this long non-coding RNA (315 nucleotides) under Prunus persica (peach). Its description in RNAcentral is "long non-coding RNA (PPER_LNC007777)". Lineage: Eukaryota; Viridiplantae; Streptophyta; Magnoliopsida; Rosales; Rosaceae. The record is from RNAcentral.